CCAACGGUUCUACUUGGAACCAACACUAAUUAAACACAAAAAACA
Triticum urartu is the source of this 45-nucleotide non-coding RNA. Lineage: Eukaryota; Viridiplantae; Streptophyta; Magnoliopsida; Poales; Poaceae. The record is from Rfam.